RNAcentral lists this ribosomal RNA (834 nucleotides) under uncultured Flavobacteriia bacterium. RNAcentral's name for it is "bacterial SSU rRNA". It matches the Rfam family "Bacterial small subunit ribosomal RNA", at positions 70 to 902 of the family's 1533-position model. Lineage: Bacteria; Pseudomonadati; Bacteroidota; Flavobacteriia. The record is from RNAcentral.
CAGCGCGGGUAGCAAUACCUGGCGGCGACCGGCAAACGGGUGCGGAACACGUACGCAACCUUCCUUUAAGCGGGGAAUAGCCCAGGGAAACUUGGAUUAAUACCCCAUAAGACAGUGGAGUGGCAUCACUCAGCUGUUAAAGCUCCGGCACUUAAAGAUGGGCGUGCGGCUGAUUAGGUAGUUGGCGGGGUAACGGCCCACCAAGCCGACGAUCAGUAACUGGUGUGAGAGCACGACCAGUCACACGGGCACUGAGACACGGGCCCGACUCCUACGGGAGGCAGCAGUAAGGAAUAUUGGUCAAUGGACGAAAGUCUGAACCAGCCAUGCCGCGUGGAGGAUGAAGGCCCUCUGGGUUGUAAACUUCUUUUAUUGGGGAAGAAACCUGACUUUUCUAAGGCAGUUGACGGUACCCGAUGAAUAAGCACCGGCUAACUCCGUGCCAGCAGCCGCGGUAAUACGGAGGGUGCAAGCGUUAUCCGGAUUCACUGGGUUUAAAGGGUGCGUAGGUGGGCAGGUAAGUCAGUGGUGAAAUCUCCGGGCUUAACCCGGAAACUGCCGUUGAUACUAUCUGUCUUGAAUGUAGUGGAGGUGAGCGGAAUAUGUCAUGUAGCGGUGAAAUGCUUAGAUAUGACAUAGAACAUCGAUUGCGAAGGCAGCUCGCUACACUAUUAUUGACACUGAGGCACGAAAGCGUGGGGAUCAAACAGGAUUAGAUACCCUGGUAGUCCACGCCCUAAACGAUGGAUACUCGACAUCAGCGAUACACUGUUGGUGUCUGAGCGAAAGCAUUAAGUAUCCCACCUGGGAAGUACGACCGCAAGGUUGAAACUC